This 72-nucleotide transfer RNA is filed under the name archaeon. RNAcentral's name for it is "tRNA-Thr". It matches the Rfam family "tRNA". Rfam says of the family: Transfer RNA (tRNA) molecules are approximately 80 nucleotides in length. The record is from RNAcentral.
GCCUCUAUAGCUCAGUGGUAGAGCAUUUGCUUCGUAAGCAAAGGGCCGAGGGUUCAAAUCCCUCUAGAGGCU